GUCAAAGUUGAGCUGUGUCUUUGUGCAGCAGCAGACAGCCUCUCAGUACUGAAGUUUCCUCUAAUGACAGAGUCGUUUUCUCCUCGUCUCCACAUCCAGGUGAUCUGAGGAGCAGAUCCAGAGCAGAGACCAGGAGCAGUGCAGCUCAGUGUGGUCUGCUGUCCCUCUGUCAGAGGAGGAAUCAUCACUGUGGGCUUCUGGGUCAGAGCUGAUGAGAGAGAGGUCCAUGAGUACAUGAGGUGAGCAGCAUGGAAACUAUUAAAACACUUUAUUUUGGGGAUUAAAUUUACUCAGAUACUGAAAAAAUAAGAAUCAAGGAGAAUAAGAGUAAUAAUAUGAAUGGCUGCAGUUCUCACAGAUUACCAGCAGAGAGCAACAAAUGCUAAAAUUUACUUCAUAUGAGUUUUUACAGCUGAAAUACUCUGUUGGAGUUUGUUUGCACACGACAUCAUAGACCUCCUCAGUGUGUUUGUGUAGCUCUUCGUACCUUUAACAGAGACAUUCGCUCUUAAGGAAUACUGGAAUCCAUCUUUAUCCUUGCCAGGACUGAAACCGUUAACUCUGAGCUGAUAUGAUCCAGAGUCUGACACAGUCAGGUCAUUGAUGAUGAUGCUGCACUUCCUCUGACUCGUACCGGGCUCCAACUGUUUUACUCUGCCUUUAAAUCCAGACUGAACCUUUUUGUCGUUCUUUUUGUAUAUCACAUCUUGAUCAGUACAUCUUGGUUUGGAUGGUUCACAUUUGAACCACACAAUAUUCUGGGGAAUGAAGGUUGAGCUUGUAUUGAAAGAGCACGGUAUCACAACGCACAGUCCAGCUUCAGCUCCUAUUUCUCCGUCACUGAGAGUGAUACAGAAUUCAUUUUGACAGGCGGAUCUUCUUUCUAGUGAGCAGAGACACAAAAGUGGGUGUUAUUGGGGCCAAAAAAAUCUGAUAUUUUACAACAAACUGAGAAAAACAGCUGCUGAUUUUGGCUCAUUGUGCCACAAGGAUAAAACAGAAGACAAAUUAGGGUGAAUUAUAGAGUCUUAGGGUUGUUGUUGGCUGUUUGUUUCUGAACAGUGUAAUGGAGGUCCUCGCUCUGACACUCACAUGCUCUGUAACGUCUGCCUGAACAUAACGCUUCGUAUUCAUGAGUCAGGAGUCUGUUAGAUUUGAAAUUUUGUCACCUUAAGAUCACUAUGAAGUUACACACCUGUGUCUGCUCUGCUGUCCAUCACAGAGAAAAGCAGAGUUGUCCAUAUGAGGACAAACAUCCUGAGUUGGUUGUUGAGACUGUCGGUCUCUCUCCCGCUGCAGAAAAGAUUUUCACAGUAAACAUGAAGAAAGUGACAAAGUGAAGCUCAAAGCUGACAUGACAGUCCUAAAAUACAAGAUUGUUCAUUUUCAGCAGCUCCACGGUUCACACGUCACACUCAGGAGAGUUUGUACAGCUCAGCAUUGAUCAGUCGUUGAUUUAACUACAAUGAUUUUAAUAACAAUAGCAGCUCUUGGCCGUUUCAGCCUCUCCAGACCUCACUAAUAGUUUCCAAUACAGCCGUUAUGCAGUCUUCCUCAUUUUAAGUCUCCCUCCAAUCCAGUCUACACUCUUACUUUACCAGCAAACUAAAGACUAUCAAAAAGCAUUUUAAUAACUCUGUAAGGAUGAAGGAAAACACUCUGGAAACUUCUAUUUACUCUCCCAAAAUUAAUUUCCAAACUCUUUCAUACCUCCAUCUGUCUCCUUCCUCCGCUCUCUUUUCUCUACAAGUUUCAGCGCUCAAAUGUCUCUUCUCUCUUUUCUAUUUCUCCUUUCGGUGUGCAACCAGAUUUCAGGAAGGUUCUGCAAACACAGCUUAUUUCUCCUCUGCCUAAACUGACAGGUUUUUUUGGUUUUUAAUCUUUUUGAUCAUAAAUACGCACUUUUAGUAUCCCACAUUUCUCAGAACUCUGUUUUUGUUUCUUAUGUUUAGCUUUUUCAUCGUAUGUUAAGGUGUCUGAGCUAUCCAGAGAUUUUUAGUGUCACAGCCCUGUUCUCGGUGUGUCUCUAAUGCUGUUAAAAACUUAAUAAUCUUUACAACAACGUCAGCUUUGGACCCUAAAAACAGCUUUUGAAUUCAUGAACUGAGAAAACUACAGCACAUCCUGUUUUUCAACACUCUUCAGUUACUUUAGCAGAAAAUCAAAAAGGUAAGAAUAAAUAACUCCAGCCUUUCCACAAUCACAAAAUAACAUGUUUAAGUGUCUUUCAAAGUUGUCUUUUACCUCUCUCUGUCUCGCUCCUCUGCUCUCUUUCCUCUGCAAGUUUCAGUUCUGAACUGACCCCCUUUUCACUUUGCGUUUGGUCUUUUUUUGGAAGAUUUGAGGAAGUUUUCUCAGGCACUUCUGCGUUUUAUUUCUCUUCUUUUGAACCAUCUGUAUUCUCAAUGAUAUCAUAAAUACUCUCACUGAAAUAUCAAAGUUUCAAUGUUACGUCUGUUAUUUCUCUAAAUUUCAGUAUACACAAAAUUCACUCUUAGUUAUCACACAUUGCUGCACACUUCUGCUCUCAGCCUUUCUUUGCUGAUGUUGUCCUUUAAAUACAUAAACCAGAAACAGAAUCAGAAAACUUUAUUUAUCCCCAGGGGGGAUUAGAUUAGAUUAGAUACAACUUCAUCUGUCCUUUUGGGAAGGUUCCCUCAAGACAUUAAACGUUCAAGCAUAAGUGUAUACAAUCAGUUUGUAGUGUAGAAUAUUGCACAGAGAAUUACACAAUUUCAUGUUUCCUGAUAAGAAAUCUCAUCCUCUUGACUUUUCAAAAUCAAACCCGUUUACUCAUUUUUAUGAACUACAGGGAAAAAAGCUUCUUCUUCUUCGGUGUGUUGUGAAACAUCUGGUCUAACACCCUCACAGGAGUCACAGACAUUAAAAAUGACAACAGAGGAAAUAUCAGUCUGUUUUAUAACCAGCAGAAAUCUCCUCACAGGACCUUCAUGAACCUUGAUUUGGUGUGUUUUGAGUCGUACGCUAUCCUGCGUUUAUGCUACAUACAAACAGUUUCAGGUAAAUCACAGAAUGAAAUCAUAAGACAGGAGAAGAAAUUAUGAGUCAUUUAAACACAUCAAAAAAACAUCAGCUUAGUCUGUCCUCAUUAUAAAAGCAGAACCUGAGGGAGCGCUUCUGCAUUAUUGUGUUUUUAUAGUUCAUGUUGCGCAACAUCCGUGGAUUCUGCUCACAGCAAAGUCGGUCCAGUUGAUGACUUGAACAUGAGCUUGUUUGGUACCUCUGUGUGCUCAGUAUCCUAAGAAGUGACAAAGUUACUUAAACCUUCAAAUCACUUCAAUCUGCUGUAAGUCAGUGAAAAGUUCAUUGACUUUAUUUUUACUUGAAAUCAUUUCGCUGUGAAACAACCUUAAAAAAACUUGGAGUGAAGCUGACUCUGGUUAGUUCAGAGGUCGGCAGAUAACUGCAGACUCUGGAGCAGGGCUCUCAAGUAUUGAGCUGAGCUUGGAGUGAGAUCAUUUUUUAUUUUGUUUGUUUAUUUGUUUGUUUUUGAGGGGGAAGUGAAGUGAAGUGUGUUUGAAGAUAACCUAAAUUGAGGUAAAAAAUGAUCCAUAAAGCAAAUUUACUGCAUAGUUCCUUGACUUUAAUAAAAUACAGCAAUUGUAUGAGAAAAAAAUCAAGUGAUUGAGUUGCAACAUAAUUUCAGGACCCACUUCCAGCUCUUCUUUAGUGUGCACACAAUAGCAGCAUUCGUGCGUGUGGAGGACACGAUUAUGGUGCUGUUAUUUCACCUAGCAACAAGAAAUACUAUUUUCUGACUGGCUGAUUGGUUGCAGAUUCAAGCAUCAUCCAUUUAUAGGUUUACUGCGUGAGAAAUGUUGUGUGGUGCGUGAACUCGUUGAAAUGUGUGUCUCACGCUCGACACGUGAAACCUGAGAGCCCUGCUCUGGAGAUAGCUCUGUUUUCUGAAGAGACAUGUAAGUCCUGUCCGCCUUGUUUGGUGUCACUGUUCUUCUUUUGGUCCUUUUUUGAGAAAAAGAGAAAAAAAAAAUUCAACAUGAUUGAGUGUUUAAAAGUCUUCACUGCAUUAACUGAGCUGUGGAAACACAGACUGAGGGUUUAGUAACUCACCAGAGAAACGCCACGAGGAUUACACAGAUGACGUUCAAAACGAGAGACAGAGCAGCAACGACAGCCAAAGAGAGCACGACUCCUUGUGAACAGAAACGUUUAACAAGUUACUUUUUAAUGUAAAAUCAAGUAUUUAUUUUAAGUCAGCCUUUAGUCGUCAGUUCUCACCCUCCUGUUCAAACUCGCUGGCUAUGACGAUCUUCAGCUCCUUCUUCACUUCUCCAAAGUUAUUUUUGCUGACACACCCAACAGUGGAGUAGCUGUGAUCUUUAUCAGGUACAGUGAUGCUGCUGUUGACUCUGUUUUUCCACACACUUGUCGUGACACAGUGUUGGGUGUGAUUGUUUAGCAGUGGCCAUGUAACGGUGGGUAAAGGAAACCCCUCACUGAUACACACACAGGUCAGGACACCAGGCUGAGCUUCACAUGCAGAGCUGUUGAGAAUCUUUGGUGAAACUGUAAACAAACAAGAGGAAUAGAAGAAUGAUUCAGUAGGUGGGAGACUUAAAAUUUAAAGUCAUAUGUUUUGCUAGAAAUGAAAGCCUUUUAUUAAUAACAGUAAAAACAAAUACUUUGACAUUAGUCCUGAUAUAGUCCUCUAAAAGCACAGGAGUCAGGUAAUAUAGUACAAAACUGGAUUUAUUUCACAUCAGCAGAAACUCUCUAAUUGUUACUAAAAUGUUGAUGGUUACUUUAAUUUCUAGAAAGUUAGUUUUAAUGUCUUGUUUUUCAGAUGUCUUGUUCAACAGGUUUCUGUUCUGUAUUUUUGCUAUAAAAGGUGAAAACUUUUCAAGCAAGGUUCAAUUUAAACAACUAAACACCAGUUCAAUAAUUUCUAUUUAAAUAUGACACGACAGAAAUGGAGAAAUUAUCCUGAAAAUGGUGCAGAUUCAGUUUCCCGAACCAGAUCAACUUUAUAUAACAUGUACAAAAUAGAAGAAAACACUAAAAAGUUCAUUCAAAUUUAUUUUGUUUCAAUCUGUUUGUGAUUUAAACUUUUAUCAAGUUGCACCAUUUUCAUCAGGGGACAUGAAAACAAUCAGAAAAUCUGCUCCUGUUGUUUUUCCGUGAAACAUUUUUAGAGAUCAGAUACUCACAGGUCACAGUCAGAGUCUCUUUCUUCUCUGUGGAGAUGUUGUUUUUGAAGCUGACCUUACAGGUGACCUCAGUGCCAUGGUCCUCAGCUGAGGGUGUAAAGGUCAAAGUUGAGCUGUGUCUUUGUGCAGCAGCAGACAGACUCUCAGUACGGAAGUUUCCUAGGAUGACAGAGUCGUUUUCUCCUCGUCUCCACAUCCAGGUGAUCUGAGGAGCAGAUCCAGAGCAGAGACCAGGAGCAGUGCAGCUCAGUGUGGUCUGCUGUCCCUCUGUCAGAGGAGGAAUCAUCACUGCGGGCUUCUGGGUCAGAGCUGAUGAGAGAGAGGUCCAUGAGUACACGAGGUGAGCAGCAUGGAAACUAUUAAAACACUUCAAAUUUACUCAGAGAUUCUGGACACUUAUUAUCUUAGAGUCAUGGGAGUGAUGUGUGGGACCACUGCGGUUCUCACAGUUUACCACUAGAGGUCAGUAUAUGCCAAAAU
This is a non-coding RNA of Xyrichtys novacula (pearly razorfish), 5669 nucleotides long. The record is from the annotation of a GenBank genome assembly. Lineage: Eukaryota; Metazoa; Chordata; Actinopteri; Labriformes; Labridae.